Molecule: long non-coding RNA, 214 nt
Filed under: Panax ginseng (ginseng)
Lineage: Eukaryota; Viridiplantae; Streptophyta; Magnoliopsida; Apiales; Araliaceae
Description: long non-coding RNA (PGIN_LNC009030)
Source: RNAcentral
GCAAUUAGCCUCGAACCUGCUAGCUCGUGUAGAUACCAUUGGGCAGGAGCUUGCAGCGUUACCUCCUUCUUCAGAGAGGGAUGCUAUGUUAUAUCUGAUAGUCCGCAUACACACAGAUCCGUAGAUAGCUUUGUAUUUUCCUGCACAGACUAGCUUAGCCAUUUUGUCAUGUACAUCAUAUAUUAUAUAUAUCAAACAGUAUUAUAUAUGGCAG